Molecule: long non-coding RNA, 679 nt
Organism: Monodelphis domestica (gray short-tailed opossum)
Lineage: Eukaryota; Metazoa; Chordata; Mammalia; Didelphimorphia; Didelphidae
Source: RefSeq, a predicted model, not a curated record
GGUGGUUCUUGACUUGGAGGGCUGGAGCAUGGAGACCUGAGUCUGCUUCCCUUAGGCUACCACUUGGUGAGGGUCCCGGAGUAUGAUGGAUGACUUCACUUCAUUUGCUGCCUCUUGGAGCUUGCAUUCUGAGGAUACCUUGGAAUCCACAGGCUGAGAUUUCUGGGAUCAGCUGUGUCAGCUGUCCUCCUGUCUCUGGAGAUCCCUCCUGGUCCAUAUCGAGGAACUGAAUGAGAAGAAAAUAGAUCAAAAGUGGGAAGAAUCAAAAGCCAGGAGCUGACAAUGUAUUGUUCACAAGAAACACACUGAAAAUGAGAAGAUACAUAGAGUGAAGUUGAGGGGUUGGAACAGAAUAUUCUAUGCCUCCGCUGAUCCAGAGAAGGCAGGAGUAGUCAUCAUGACCACUAACACAGUUAAGUGCUAAAAUGGGUAUAAUUGGAAGUGAUGAACAGGGUAACUGCAUUAUGUUUGGAGAUACUCCGGAUAAUAAAGCUCUACCAAUAUUGGACCUGUAUGCAUCAAGAGUUAUUGGGCCCAGAUGUUUUAAGAAAAAAGUAAUGAGAUAGAGAUGGAAAUAGGUAACAACAUAAUAAUAGUGGGUAACUUUAAUUUUCCCUUCUCAGAACUAAAUAACUAACUGAAAAACAAAUAAGAAAGAAGGUAAGGAGAUGAAUAGAAC